This is a long non-coding RNA of Cydia splendana, 400 nucleotides long. RefSeq lists it as uncharacterized. The transcript has 2 exons. The record is from RefSeq and is a predicted model, not a curated record. Lineage: Eukaryota; Metazoa; Arthropoda; Insecta; Lepidoptera; Tortricidae.
CGCUCAAUGCUGCUGGCACGCACUGGGAAACUACACACAGAACACUGGCUAAACCAGACUGGAUGCAGACAGGCCAAAGAAGCCAUGCUUGGCAUCAACGCUCACAAGGACGCUCCUUCAACUAGGAAAGGUUCGACUGAGUAUGGUAACCAGUGUCAUAACAGGUCAUGGACUUUUUAACAAACAUCUUUUUAUAACAGGUGUCACGGACAGUCCCCUAUGUCGUGGAUGCAUGGAGAAGGAAGAAACAGCCUCUCACGUGGUGUUGGAAUGCAGCGGAGUGGCCCCAUACAGAGCAAAACAUCUCGGAUCUCCGAGAGACCUCCCCGAGGUCCUACUCAACAUUAAAGGUUUGGUGGGAUUCCUCGAGGAGCUGGGCUGGCAGGACUAGCCCACCCCC